This 201-nucleotide ribosomal RNA is filed under the name uncultured bacterium. Its description in RNAcentral is "partial 16S ribosomal RNA". It matches the Rfam family "Bacterial small subunit ribosomal RNA", at positions 328 to 544 of the family's 1533-position model. The record is from RNAcentral.
ACGCUCGACACCUACUGGAGGCAGCAGUGGGGAAUAUUGCACAAUGGGGGAAACCCUGAUGCAGCGACGCCGCGUGGAGGAAGAAGGUCUUCGGAUUGUAAACUCCUGUUGUUGGGGAAAAAGAGGAUGGUACCCAACAAGGAAGUGACGGCUAACUACGUACCACGCAGCCGCGGUAAUCUGAGCGGGCGUGGCGAAGGC